Catharus ustulatus (Swainson's thrush) is the source of this 1641-nucleotide long non-coding RNA. RefSeq lists it as uncharacterized. The record is from RefSeq and is a predicted model, not a curated record. The transcript has 3 exons. NCBI's taxonomy places the organism in Eukaryota, Metazoa, Chordata, Aves, Passeriformes, Turdidae.
AGGUAUUGCUAGGUAAAAAUAUUAGAAAAUUAGUAGAGAAAGUACUAGAAAAUUAUAUUUAGAACUCUGAGAAAUUUCUCUGUCAGAAAAGUAAGGGAGGACAUUGUUCAAUUCAUCUCAAUUUUCUUUUAUAUCUUUAAGUCCACUGAUUUUGAUAAAAAGUUACCAUAAAGUCAGGUGAUACUGAGCUUCUGAAACAGACUAGUUUAGUAUUGCAUCAAUAUAUGCCCUGGAUUUGAGAAUUAAUAUUAACUUUAUGUAAAGGCAUUUCUAUUUCUGCAUUUUUAAUCUAUUUUAAUUUCCUGAAAUAUUUCAUUGCAGGUUCUAAAUAACUAGGAUAGCUAGUAACAGUGGCUAAAAAAGGGAAUAAGCCACUGCCACAAGGAAUGACUGCCUUCUGUGCUGAUGACAGAUCUGCCCCUCUGCUAUCAGACAUUGUGCUUUUGCCAUCUCAGUUUCCUAAGGACUGCCUCUGCCUGGGAGCCAGUGGAGCAGCCGUGUUGGAGGCAAAACCGUUCUCUGAGGAGGAUGAUGAUGGAUGACAGAGUGAUUCCCUUCCACAUGGCUGAGGCUCCUGCUGAGCUCUGAGUUUGAUGACCUCAGGUGCUCCUUCCCAGUGCAACUUCAGCUGCUCAAGUGCAGGUAAUGAAACCAUCCAGACAAGAGAGUUCCCAAGAACCAUUUGAGAAGAUUCUUCAGUAGUGCUGGCAGACAUUUUACUCAGUGGAGCAGAUCUCUUCAGGGAACCAAUGGCUCUUAAUCCAAGGGUGAGAUUACUUUGAUUUAGCUCCACUUAAACACAGCUGUACCAGAAAAAUUCUAUGGUUCAGCAGCAAUAGGAGAUUUGGUCUAUUCUGCCUGCAUUGUGACACUCAGGAUGGGACACCUGCACAAAUCUCUGAUCUCACACCUGUGCUGAGCAGUAUCUCCAGGUGACCAAUGAGACCUACCUGGCUUUCAGACCAUACUAUGGUGACAUAACAGGAAUUGUGCCUCACUCCCCUAAACCUCCUAAACAGACAAUAGAGGGAAAUAAGCACUUCCAUGUGCUAGUUUGGAUCUCACACAGGCUAUCAAGGGAACAUAAAGUUCCCAGUGCGAUGAACCUGAGCCUUGGAUAAAUACUUGCAGUGACUUUUGUGCUUAUGGGGCUCUAAGACAAAUGAGUAAACAAACAAUGCUCUCUUCCCAUUUCUGCCUUGCAAAAACAUAAGGGAAAAACUUUUACACCCUUUGUUGGGAUGUUAGUGCCAGAGUAAAGAUACCAGCCCUUAUUCCAUUCAAAUGUCCAGGUUUCAUUUCCAAUUGUUUCUCUGGAAUCCUUUUUUUUUCCCUCUUCUUCAGCUGGUUGAGCAAUGACUGUUCUUAUAAAACGAAUUUUCAGCUUUGUAACAGUCCUGACUUUUCAAUGUUUGAAAGGCAAAAGGGUCACUCAAAGUAAACUCUCUUGUGCUAGAUUGUGUUUUUCCACAUGGACAUGUUGGAGGCCACUCUGUGCUGUCAGCCCAGAAAGGCCAGAAGAUACCUUCAGACUCCCCAGGUGCCUCUGUGUUUGUUUUCUAAUGUUGUUGCAUGCGUAAUAUCAUUAAUAUUACAUCCGAAGCUUGUCUUUAUAAACAGAGUCAACACGUCUAACUUACU